RNAcentral lists this ribosomal RNA (506 nucleotides) under uncultured bacterium. RNAcentral's name for it is "partial 16S ribosomal RNA". It matches the Rfam family "Bacterial small subunit ribosomal RNA", at positions 30 to 523 of the family's 1533-position model. The record is from RNAcentral.
AUUGAACGCUGGCGGCAGGCCUAACACAUGCAAGUCGAACGGUAGCACAGAGGAGCUUGCUCCUUGGGUGACGAGUGGCGGACGGGUGAGUAAUGUCUGGGAAACUGCCCGAUGGAGGGGGAUAACUACUGGAAACGGUAGCUAAUACCGCAUAACGUCUUCGGACCAAAGUGGGGGACCUUCGGGCCUCACACCAUCGGAUGUGCCCAGAUGGGAUUAGCUAGUAGGUGGGGUAAUGGCUCACCUAGGCGACGAUCCCUAGCUGGUCUGAGAGGAUGACCAGCCACACUGGAACUGAGACACGGUCCAGACUCCUACGGGAGGCAGCAGUGGGGAAUAUUGCACAAUGGGCGCAAGCCUGAUGCAGCCAUGCCGCGUGUAUGAAGAAGGCCUUCGGGUUGUAAAGUACUUUCAGCGGGGAGGAAGGCGAUGCGGUUAAUAACCGCAUCGAUUGACGUUACCCGCAGAAGAAGCACCGGCUAACUCCGUGCCAGCCGCCGCCGUAA